Molecule: ribosomal RNA, 619 nt
Filed under: Pseudomonas helleri
Lineage: Bacteria; Pseudomonadati; Pseudomonadota; Gammaproteobacteria; Pseudomonadales; Pseudomonadaceae
Description: partial 23S ribosomal RNA
Rfam family: Bacterial large subunit ribosomal RNA
Source: RNAcentral
GGUGACUGCGUACCUUUUGUAUAAUGGGUCAGCGACUUAUUUUCAGUGGCAAGCUUAACCGAAUAGGGGAGGCGUAGCGAAAGCGAGUCUUAAUAGGGCGUCUAGUCGCUGGGAAUAGACCCGAAACCGGGCGAUCUAUCCAUGGGCAGGUUGAAGGUUGGGUAACACUAACUGGAGGACCGAACCGACUACCGUUGAAAAGUUAGCGGAUGACCUGUGGAUCGGAGUGAAAGGCUAAUCAAGCUCGGAGAUAGCUGGUUCUCCUCGAAAGCUAUUUAGGUAGCGCCUCAUGUAUCACUGUAGGGGGUAGAGCACUGUUUCGGCUAGGGGGUCAUCCCGACUUACCAAACCGAUGCAAACUCCGAAUACCUACAAGUGCCGAGCAUGGGAGACACACGGCGGGUGCUAACGUCCGUCGUGAAAAGGGAAACAACCCAGACCGUCAGCUAAGGUCCCAAAGUUAUGGUUAAGUGGGAAACGAUGUGGGAAGGCUUAGACAGCUAGGAGGUUGGCUUAGAAGCAGCCACCCUUUAAAGAAAGCGUAAUAGCUCACUAGUCGAGUCGGCCUGCGCGGAAGAUUUAACGGGGCUCAAACCAUACACCGAAGCUACGGGUAUCA